RNAcentral lists this ribosomal RNA (451 nucleotides) under uncultured bacterium. RNAcentral's name for it is "bacterial SSU rRNA". It matches the Rfam family "Bacterial small subunit ribosomal RNA", at positions 340 to 784 of the family's 1533-position model. The record is from RNAcentral.
UACGGGAGGCAGCAGUGGGGAAUAUUGCACAAUGGGCGCAAGCCUGAUGCAGCCAUGCCGCGUGUAUGAAGAAGGCCUUCGGGUUGUAAAGUACUUUCAGUCGUGAGGAAGGUGUUAAGGUUAAUAACCUUAGCAAUUGACGUUAGCGACAGAAGAAGCACCGGCUAACUCCGUGCCAGCAGCCGCGGUAAUACGGAGGGUGCGAGCGUUAAUCGGAAUUACUGGGCGUAAAGGGCACGCAGGCGGUUAAUUAAGUUGGAUGUGAAAUCCCCGGGCUUAACCUGGGAAUGGCAUUCAAGACUGGUUAGCUAGAGUCUUGUAGAGGGGGUAGAAUUCCAUGUGUAGCGGUGAAAUGCGUAGAGAUGUGGAGGAAUACCGGUGGCGAAGGCGGCCCCUGGACAAAGGCUGACGCUCAUGUGCGAAAGCGUGGGGAGCAAACGAGGAUUAGAUA